GAUGAAGAACGUAGCGAAAUGCGAUAAGUAAUGUGAAUUGCAGAAUUCAGUGAAUCAUCGAAUCUUUGAACGCACAUUGCGCCCGCCAGUAUUCUGGCGGGCAUGCCUGUCCGAGCGUCAUUUCAACCCUCGAACCCCUCCGGGGGGUCGGCGUUGGGGACCUCGGGAGCCCCUAAGACGGGAUCCCGGCCCCGAAAUACAGUGGCGGUCUCGCCGCAGCCUCUCCUGCGCAGUAGUUUGCACAACUCGCACCGGGAGCGCGGCGCGUCCACGUCCGUAAAACACCCAUCUUCUGAAAUGUUGACCUCGGAUCAGGUAGGAAUACCCGCUGAACUUAAGCAUAUCAAUAAGCGGAGGA
RNAcentral lists this unclassified non-coding RNA (358 nucleotides) under soil metagenome. RNAcentral describes it as "partial contains 5.8S ribosomal RNA, internal transcribed spacer 2, and large subunit ribosomal RNA". The stretch from base 1 to 120 matches the Rfam family "5.8S ribosomal RNA", at positions 35 to 154 of the family's 154-position model. The record is from RNAcentral.